GAUGAACGCUGGCGGUAUGCUUAACACAUGCAAGUCGAACGGACUCUUCGGAGUUAGUGGCGGACGGGUGAGUAACGCGUGAGAAUCUGGCUUUGGGUUCGGGACAACCACUGGAAACGGUGGCUAAUACCGGAUGUGCCGAGAGGUAAAAGAGAAAUUGCCUGAAGAUGAGCUCGCGUCUGAUUAGCUAGUUGGUGAGGUAAAGGCCCACCAAGGCAGCGAUCAGUAGCUGGUCUGAGAGGAUGACCAGCCACACUGGGACUGAGACACGGCCCAGACUCCUACGGGAGGCAGCAGUGGGGAAUUUUCCGCAAUGGGCGAAAGCCUGACGGAGCAAUACCGCGUGGGGGAAGAAGGCUCUUGGGUUGUAAACCUCUUUUCUUAGGGAAGAACAAAAUGACGGUACCUAAGGAAUCAGCAUCGGCUAACUCCGUG
This 435-nucleotide ribosomal RNA is filed under the name uncultured bacterium. RNAcentral describes it as "partial 16S ribosomal RNA". It matches the Rfam family "Bacterial small subunit ribosomal RNA", at positions 28 to 507 of the family's 1533-position model. The record is from RNAcentral.